Molecule: long non-coding RNA, 1228 nt
Organism: Chenopodium quinoa (quinoa)
Lineage: Eukaryota; Viridiplantae; Streptophyta; Magnoliopsida; Caryophyllales; Amaranthaceae
Exons: 3
Source: RefSeq, a predicted model, not a curated record
UAUGCGCGGUUAUUAAAAAAUUGUGUAAAGUAGAGGUAUAUUGGAAUAAUUCAAUGAUUAAAAGUACAAUUUUACUUUAAAAAAAAUAAUAUUGUAUAUGUGGGGUGAAGAAAGUAAGAAGGAAAAAGAAGAGAGAGGAGAGAAAGUAAUAAUAAGUAUUAGAAAACCAUUAAAAUAGUACUAAAAGUACAAAUGCACUUGGAAAAGUAAAGAUAUUUGAGUAUUUAAAUUGUAAAGCAAGGCUAAUUUUGUUUAUAAUUUAUGACUAAAAAAGGAAAGAUACUAAAUGUAAAGAAUAAAAAAGAACACCUAAGAUGGAAACGUAAAAAAUAAAAGGGAACGAAGGGAGUAUUAAUUUAGGAAUGUAUGAAAAAUUACUCGCAAAUCAGUGUAAUUAAUGAAGAUAUUAUAUUAAUAUUUUUUUCUUUUAGGGAUAUGAAUAACAUUUUUCUAUAAAAAAUUAACAAAUUAUGAAGUGCUGCUUUUAUAUGAUAUCGUAGCAUUUGUUGUAUAGCAAAUGAAUUUUUAUGUACUAGUUGUCGUCGCUCCAAAACUAUAUGCCAAAGCCUGACUAAUCGUGUAUACAUGCUUAUUCCACAGGUGGGACUUGAGUUCAAUGGAGAAAUUUCCCGCAAAUUAUAUGAAAGUCAUGUACGAGUUUGUCAUUAAUACUUUAGAUGAUGUUGCCAAGGAGAUGACCAGCAUUGGAAAGCCAUACGCUGGUAUUUUUGCAAGAGAACAAGUGCAGAGAUUGAUAAGAAACUACUUUACUGAGGUGAAAUGGGUCAAGUCAAAAUAUGUGCCAACAUUUGAAGAAUACAUGUUCAAUGGGAGGAAUACCUCCUGCUCGCAGUUAAUUGAAACUCUAUGCUUGAUGGGUAUGGAAGAGAUUACAGAAGUUAAACCUUUAUAUACAGUUAAUGCAGUAUAAUACGACGACCAUGGCUACUGCAAACAUUGGCCGACUCAUGGAUGACAUGACCACUUGCGAGGCAGAGCUAGCUAGAGGUGUGCGCCUUGCCUCAAGUGUGGAAUGCUACAUGAAGGAUUAUAAUACGAGUUAGGAAGAAGUGUUGCAAAUAUUUACGAAAAUUAUUGAUGACGCAUGGAAAGAUCUAGUAAACGAGGGGUUGCGAGCCAACUCAUCCAUUGGCGGACUUGGCCUUAUGCCUGGUGGGUCAAAUGACUCACCAGGGCCCAAAAUAUUUUUUAAGUUUUUUAAAAAAAA